AAGGCCGGCUCUUCCAUCUCAUUCUUGGUUCUGAGCUGCAGCAGGACUUCCUAUCCUUUCUCCUUCCCCUGCUUGAAAUCCUGAUGAAUUUCUGCAUGUUUCAAGGUGCUCAAUACUUCCUUCACUGGCUCUUUCCCAAACUUGCUCUCACGGUGACAACUGCCAUGGGGCUCAGUCCGAUGUAGCUGCCAUCUCUCGUGCUGACCCAGCGGAACAUCACGGAACAAGGCAGAGCAAGGACACGCACCGCGGGGCACGGAGCCCACGCAGGCUCUCACUGUAKGUGCCACUGGGAAGCUGCCAAGGGUCCCUCGGUCCCACCACGCGGCUCCUCYGGGAAGAUGCCCAGCGCUGCUGGCCCCACUAAAUACCCUGCCUAAACCUGGGGCCUCACUGGACCUGAUUCAACCCAGCUGCUGGCAGUAGAUCCGGCUGCUCAUGCUAAUUCUGCUCCUAAAARCGGAGAGAUUUGUGCCACAGCGUCAGGGUUACAAGUAGCAUAUAAAUGUCUGUCUGAGAAGCUGUUAGGUAACAAUUCAACAGCGGUUAAUUAAGGACAGGGUUACUUGUUCUGUGGAGUAAUCCAAGCCGAUAAAAUGCUCCCAACUGGGUAAUGUUAUAUUCAGUAGUAUCAUUAAAUAUUAGUACUUGCUUCAACAGUAAUUUUUACMAGAAUUUCCUGUAAGCCUUUGAAAGUGCAUGCAUUUAAAAUAAUAGAAAAUGAGGUCGUUUUAACAGGAUUAUGGUGUACACUGAGUCUAGAUAAACAGUUUUGUUUACAUAAAACAUCCUGUACUGAUUUAUUUAUAUACUUGCAAUUAACAAAGGAUGAAAAAAGGUGAAAAAUAGAACUAAGAUUCCUUGACUUUUUCUCCCAAAUAAAUCUCACUUUAAUGCCAUUCCAAGAGAUGAUUUCACUGUGCAGGAGCUCCUGUUUUUCCCCCUGCCCCGUGCUGUGGGGAUGACUGGCAGCUUUCUUGGAGUGGUGGUGCC
Long non-coding RNA from Nothoprocta perdicaria, 993 nucleotides. RefSeq lists it as uncharacterized. NCBI's taxonomy places the organism in Eukaryota, Metazoa, Chordata, Aves, Tinamiformes, Tinamidae. The transcript has 2 exons. The record is from RefSeq and is a predicted model, not a curated record.